GGAAUGGUUUGGCACCUCGAUGUCGGUUCGUCACAUCCUGGGGCUGGAGAAGGUCCCAAGGGUUCGGCUGUUCGCCGAUUAAAGUGGCACGUGAACUGGGUUCAGAACGUCGUGAGACAGUUCGGUCCCUAUCUGUUGCGGGCGUUAGAAGUUUGAGGGGUGCUACCAUUAGUACGAGAGGACCGUGGUGGACGAACCGCUAGUGUACCAGUUGUCACGCCAGUGGCACAGCUGGGUAGCUAUGUUCGGACGGGAUAAGCGCUGAAAGCAUCUAAGCACGAAGCCCACCUCAAGAUGAGACUUCUUUUAAGGGUCGUGGAAGAUUACCACGUUGAUAGGCUACAGGUGUAAAGUCAGCAAUGGCAAAGCCGAGUAGUACUAAUUACCCGUAGACUUUGACCUG
This 403-nucleotide ribosomal RNA is filed under the name Flavobacteriales bacterium. Its description in RNAcentral is "partial 23S ribosomal RNA". It matches the Rfam family "Bacterial large subunit ribosomal RNA", at positions 2510 to 2925 of the family's 2925-position model. Lineage: Bacteria; Pseudomonadati; Bacteroidota; Flavobacteriia; Flavobacteriales. The record is from RNAcentral.